RNAcentral lists this long non-coding RNA (207 nucleotides) under Salvator merianae (Argentine black and white tegu). Its description in RNAcentral is "lncRNA (ENSSMRG00000017812.1)". The record is from RNAcentral. Lineage: Eukaryota; Metazoa; Chordata; Lepidosauria; Squamata; Teiidae.
GACAGCACUGUUGACUUUAAAAACUAACCAUAUUUCAGGAUCUUCUGACCUAAAAUGCGAGGAACUGAAUCGAGAACCAUUUCUGUGAAGGUUCCUUCUGCAUACUGAAAAACGAGGUUGACAUUGAAGCAAAUGUGAUGAAGCUGAAAGAUGUUAGGUGCAUCUGAUACGUAAUAUCUGUGUAAUAUCUCUUUGUUAUCUUUUGGC